Molecule: ribosomal RNA, 271 nt
Filed under: uncultured bacterium
Lineage: Bacteria
Description: partial 16S ribosomal RNA
Rfam family: Bacterial small subunit ribosomal RNA
Source: RNAcentral
UACAGAGGGUGCAAGCGUUAAUCGGAAUUACUGGGCGUAAAGCGCGCGUAGGUGGUUGUGUAAGUUGGAUGUGAAAGCCCCGGGCUUAACCUGGGAACUGCAUUCAAAACUGCACGGCUAGAGUACGGGAGAGGGGGGUAGAAUUCCAGGUGUAGCGGUGAAAUGCGUAGAGAUCUGGAGGAAUACCGAUGGCGAAGGCAGCCCCCUGGCCUGAUACUGACACUGAGGUGCGAAAGCAUGGGGAGCAAACAGGAUUAGAAACCCUAGUAGU